This 71-nucleotide ribosomal RNA is filed under the name uncultured Symbiodinium. RNAcentral's name for it is "partial 5.8S ribosomal RNA". The record is from RNAcentral. Lineage: Eukaryota; Dinophyceae; Suessiales; Symbiodiniaceae.
AAUCAAUGGCCUCCUGAACGUGCAUUACACUCUCGGGAUUUCCCUGAGAGCAUGUCUGCUUCAGUGCUUAA